Molecule: small nuclear RNA, 119 nt
Organism: Malania oleifera
Lineage: Eukaryota; Viridiplantae; Streptophyta; Magnoliopsida; Santalales; Ximeniaceae
Product: U5 spliceosomal RNA
Exons: 1
Source: RefSeq, a predicted model, not a curated record
CAGCCUUGCAGUCAACACAAAGCGAACUAUUCUUUCGCCUUUUACUAAAGAAUACCGUGUGCGCGCUGCAUAAAGAGGCAUACUCCAAUUUUUUGAGGGAGCCUACUCAGAUUGGCUCC